UUAUCUUCGGGGUAGGGUGAAAUUCCCGAUCGGCGGUAUAGUCCGCGAGCGCUUGGCGCAGGAUUUGAUAAAGUUCAAAUCAGGAUUUGGUGCAAUUCCAAAACCGACAGUAUAGUCUGGAUGAGAGAAGAUG
Molecule: non-coding RNA, 133 nt
Filed under: human gut metagenome
Description: FMN riboswitch (RFN element)
Rfam family: FMN riboswitch aptamer (RFN element)
About the family: The RFN element is a highly conserved domain that is found frequently in the 5'-untranslated regions of prokaryotic mRNAs that encode for flavin mononucleotide (FMN) biosynthesis and transport proteins.
Source: RNAcentral